UACGUAGGGUGCGAGCGUUAAUCGGAAUUACUGGGCGUAAAGUGUGCGCAGGCGGCUAUGCAAGACAGAUGCGAAAUCCCCGGGCUCAACCUGGGAACUGCAUUUGUGACUGCAUGGCUAGAGUACGGUAGAGGGGGAUGGAAUUCCGCGUGUAGCAGUGAAAUGCGUAGAUAUGCGGAGGAACACCGAUGGCGAAGGCAAUCCCCUGGACCUGUACUGACGCUCAUGCACGAAAGCGUGGGGAGCAAACAGG
Molecule: ribosomal RNA, 253 nt
Filed under: uncultured bacterium
Lineage: Bacteria
Description: partial 16S ribosomal RNA
Rfam family: Bacterial small subunit ribosomal RNA
Source: RNAcentral